AACCUUUACAAUGCACGCAAGUGUGAUAAGGGGAUCCUAAGUGCUUAUACAUUGUAUAGGCUUUUGUUAAGAGUAAAUAUCUUAGCGAAUAAGUGGUGGGUAAGACUGGUGCCAGCCGCCGCGGUAACACCAGCGCCACAAGUGGCAACCACGUUUAUUGGGCCUAAAGCGUCCGUAGCCGGUUUGGUAAAUCUCUUGUGAAAUCGACAGGCUCAACCUGUCGGCGUGCUUGAGACACUGCCAAACUUGAGACCGGGAGGAGUCAGAGGUAUUCCAUGGGGAGCGGUAAAAUGUGAUAAUCCUUGGAGGACCAUCUAUGGCGAAGGCAUCUGACCAGAACGGAUCUGACGGUGAGGGACGAAGGCUAGGGGAGCGAUCCGGAUUAGAUACCCGAGUAGUCCUAGCAGUAAACGCUGUGAGCAAGAUGUUACGCAUCUCUUGAGGAUGUGUAGUGUCGAAAUGAAGAUGUUAAGCUCACCGCCUGGGAAGUACGGUCGCAAGACUGAAACUUUAAGGAAUUGGCGGGGGAGCAC
This 533-nucleotide ribosomal RNA is filed under the name uncultured archaeon. RNAcentral describes it as "bacterial SSU rRNA". It matches the Rfam family "Archaeal small subunit ribosomal RNA", at positions 345 to 879 of the family's 1478-position model. The record is from RNAcentral.